GAAGAAGCACAGCCAAAUAUUUGAUUUGGACGAUUACACUGAAGAUGCCUCAUCACAACUGUGGGUGCCCAGAUUACCAACUCCUUGCUCUUGGCUCCCGCACACUUUGCAGUUGGUAUUAAAGGCCAUGCUUCAUGAGAUUUUGGCUGGGAGAAAAUAAAAAAUGCCUACUGCCACUUCAAGUAAGAGGCGAUGGCGGGGAUGAUAUUUCCUGCAACCAGUUCGUGGCAUCAUGGGUUGCAGUUCCGAAACUCAGAUGCUCUGGAGCCUGUGCUCUGAUGCUGCGAAAGCCAACAGGAGAACAGUGCUUGUAUGUAUAGAUGCCACCAUCGAAUGUAUAUUGGGAUAAAGAGAAGACCAACCCAACUCUUCUGCUCACUAUCAGCCAAGCAGUCGUCACCAGAGCCAGCAGGAUGCAGCGGAUAACUGAUCAUGGAAGGUAGUACGUUUCAGAAGCCGGUGAUUAGCAUUAGAGCAGAGAAUUUCACUCCAUGUUCUUCAUAAGCUCUCAAGGUGAUUCUGAAAGUCACCAUGUUUGAGAAGCACUCUGCUGCUGACAUAGAGGCUGCCCUCGAUUUAUUCCUUUAUUUUUCAUCUCCUGUGUCACAUGCACCUGGCACCGAGAUAUGGGACAUAAACAAUGAAACUGCUGGCAAGAUGGUAACUUACGGCAGAGAUGAAACUCACCAUACACUCUAGAAGCAUGGACGCUGCUCAAGGAGGUUUCAGUCAUUGACAUACCAGAAACUUGGCUUCACUUGGCAGACUGCCCUGCUACCUCUUAGACUAAUGACACGAUGUCAUGUAUAAAUGACUUUCUCUGUUUCGUUUCAGUCACUCCCAGAAUGAUCAGGAACUCAUGUCAUCUGUAUUCAAUCUAACGUCCAGUUCAGAGAAAUAAUAACCUCAGUGAGGGUAAAGAAAGUAGGCUUUAGGCUUUUGGCUUCCAAGAUGAGCUAGGUUCAAGAACAGAAGAGGGAAAGGAACCCAAGAACAGGCAGUCCAGAUUCCAGGACAGAGUGGGAGCGAGAGGCAAGAUUCAGCAUGUCUGGUGCCAGAAAGGGGGCCGCAGGGGCUGGGACGUGGGGAGCACCACCAUGAAGUUAAAGCGGAAAGUAAAAUUUCAGAUGGAAUAAAGGGAGACUCAGAGUCA
Molecule: long non-coding RNA, 1153 nt
Filed under: Felis catus (domestic cat)
Lineage: Eukaryota; Metazoa; Chordata; Mammalia; Carnivora; Felidae
Description: lncRNA (ENSFCAG00000049078.1)
Source: RNAcentral